RNAcentral lists this long non-coding RNA (289 nucleotides) under Salmo salar (Atlantic salmon). RNAcentral describes it as "lncRNA (ENSSSAG00000089772.1)". The record is from RNAcentral. Lineage: Eukaryota; Metazoa; Chordata; Actinopteri; Salmoniformes; Salmonidae.
GAAAGAAAUGCAGCCGAGAGGUUCUGUCAGCUCAUCUAAUGCUCCUUUUAGCCUGUCUAACUGACCUGCGUUGCCCUUGGCUAUUCUCCCUGCGAGGAAUAAGUAGUUACAGUCUUGUCUCAUCGCUGCAACUCCCGUACGGACUCGGGAGAGGUGAAGGUCGAGAGCCAUGCAUCCUCCGAAACACAACCCAACCCAACCCAACCAAGCCGCACUGCUUCUUGACACAAUGCCCAUCCAACCUGGAAGCCAGCCACACCAAUGUCUCAGAGGAAACACCGUACACCUG